GUGACAUCUAUUAAUACAGGCAAACAAGCAAAGGCUUUCCAGAAAACCAUAAGACCGAAAUCCAAUUUCCUUCAUGCUAUACCAAUCCCGCCUAAGAGAGAACGGAAAAAAAAAAGAAAACAUACAUUUUUCCAACCGCGUCUGAUUUCUCGCAUCAAAUCAAGGCCACAUUGCGAUCACCUUUAGGACAACAAACACAGACAACAACCACAUCAAAGUAAAAGUCAAAAAUUCUACUCUUACGUACCUCAAAUCCACAGAUCUCCGGAAAGACUCGACCUUUCCCUCCUCUCCCUUCUUCUCCUCGCACCCGCUUCCCCAAGACGGAACCCCUAACCCUAGAACCAACCCACCGGAGGGAAGAAGGCGCCGCCCGAGACGCCAGGUUCCACAGCCCCAUUGUCCCAGGGGAGAAGAUCCCGCGGAGCGCGGCGGCCGGAAGAAGAGACUACACGGUCGGUGGGGGGCCGGAGAAGAGGGAGCGGAGGGAGUAGCUCCUCCCCUGAAUUCC
This 511-nucleotide long non-coding RNA is filed under the name Phoenix dactylifera (date palm). RNAcentral's name for it is "long non-coding RNA (PDAC_LNC014560)". Lineage: Eukaryota; Viridiplantae; Streptophyta; Magnoliopsida; Arecales; Arecaceae. The record is from RNAcentral.